Vespa velutina is the source of this 3128-nucleotide RNA transcript. It is a transcript of the gene named MRN complex-interacting protein, with no coding region annotated. The record is from RefSeq and is a predicted model, not a curated record. Lineage: Eukaryota; Metazoa; Arthropoda; Insecta; Hymenoptera; Vespidae. The transcript has 2 exons.
CUCAUGUUACUGGUGAAAUAACUAUGUUGUUACGUGGAGCCAUCUAUACGAAGAAAUUUGGCGCCAAGUAGUACCUCGAGAGAAUAGCGGCAAACUAAAACUGUACGAUUCUUUAAAUAUUAAUAUUAUUUUAUAUUAAACAAAAAAACAAAAAAAAAAAAACAAAAAAAUACGGGAAAUAUAUUUUCGUAAUAAUAUUGUGUUAAAUAAUAUUGUGUAUCUGGAUUAACAAUAAAAAAAUAAUAAUUAUUGAAGUGAUCAAUAACAUAAAGCGAUAUUUCAAGGUUAUAUCAAAAACGGAAUACAAGAAGAAAGAGUUUGAAUAUUUAUUGAAGAAUAUUAAACAUGUCGCAAGAAAUGAAUAUAUUAUGCUGUUAUUCCUGUCAAAUGUUUCAAAAAAAGCAUCUUGAAAGAUCGGCCAUCCAUCUGCGGUGGUGUCUCGACGCCGGCGAUGUCCAGGAAGGUCGGCGCCAGAUCAAUGUUUAAAACUAUGUCGUCUACUCUGGAACGUUACAUAGACCUUCUAUCGCGACUCGAUGCUUAAAGGUAGCACUUAGGGGUAUUUGCUUUAUAAACCAAGAUCCAUUACUCAAUCGUAAGAAGAAGAGGAGGAAUAAGGAGAAGAAAAAGAAGAUGAAGAUGAAGAAGAAGAAGAAGAAGAAGAAGGACGUGCAUUGAAUCGUUUCUCUUCAGUCUCUCUUUAUCCCUCAGUCAAUUUCCACAACGAUUAGUCGCAAAAACCAAUGAAGAUAGAAGUAACAACGCGACACAAGGAGAAUCACGGUCUGACUCGACAUGGAUUUAUACUCGAAAGUAUCUAUGUAUACAUGUACCACGUUAAAACGAUGUUCUUGCUGAUGCUCUACCAUCUCUUCUAUCAAUAUGAGUAAAAAUGUGUAUUGGUAUUAUUACUACUACUACUACUAGUAUUAUUAUUAUUAUUACUACUACUACUACUAUCAUUACCAUUACCACUACAACCAAUACAACAGUCGCGGACCACUUUUCUCAUCACGCUCGGUUUCACGGUCCAGCAGGAUAAUUUAUAGCGUACCAAGACUCUUUAUGGCGGACCGCGAAACCGUAAUUCCAGAAGACGUUCCAGACAACGGGCACUUACGUGCAAGUGCUCUAUUUAUUGCCGUGAAAUCUCGCUAAGGGAACGAGCAGAUUGUAUUUCUAUAUAUAUAGAUAUAUAUAUAUAUAUAUACAUGUAUACUAUGUCUGGAUAUACGAUCGACCUAACGAAUUAAGGAGUAAAUAGAUCUUACGCCUUUAACGAUCCUGUUCGAUGAUUAAAAAACGAGGUGUUCCUUUCUUUUUAGUAUCGUUAAUAAAAUUACAAAGCAACUGAACGUAAUGAUCCUUGUAAUUAUUCCAAAUUGAUCUAAAACUUACACGGAUCCAGGUUCUAUGCCGGGUCCUCUUAUGAGAAAAGGUACUCUGACGUCAAACUCGAAUGGGAAGCUUUUGCCUUUGAUAAGACCAAAUUGUCCCAAGUGAUAACCAUGGUCGGAUGUAUAAAUUAUGUAAGUAUUGUCCAGCUCUCCCAAAUCUUUCAAUUCCUGAUAGAUCUGUAGUUACAGGAAUAAUAUUAUUCUUUUAGAUAUUUAUGUUUUGUCUUUUCCUUUUUGGUUCUUUUUUUUUUCUUCCUUUUCUUCUUUGUACGUAUAUAUAAACAAACUCACUCUAUCGACCGCUGCGUCGACACUCUGCAAAGUCUGCAGUCUCUUGGUCAUCAAGAGAUCCGUAAACUGUUUGUGUAUAGGCUGCAUCUUCUGAGUGACUUGGAGAAUCCACUGUUUGUCUGGAUUCGGUGCAUAAUCAUAAGCUGGCGUACUGUAAGAGUAACAGAGAGAGUGAGAGAGUGUAAGUAUCCGUGUCUGUGUAUGUGUGUGUAUGUGUGUGUGUGAAAAAGAGAAAGAGAAGAUCAGAGAAAUUCUUAGGAGGUACGAAUGUUUGCGAAAUCGGGGUCGACCACCCUGCUAAGAUUUAACUUGAUGUUGACUCUAGGGAGAAAGAUCAUUUUAUAUGUAUACUUACUGAUGAGUGGUGACGUUGAAAAAGAGAUGCGAGAAUUGCGGCGCGGAAUCUUCUGGUCCAUGAGGCGCCGGAAAGCUUGCAACCAACAUUACCGGUUUGCGAGCGAAAUUAUGCUUGCUCUGCCGUAGAAACGCAACGCUAUCGUUAGCUAUUAAAUCCGGAUAAUAGUCCUUGCUAUAUUCGAAGCCGUGCUUUAUCUUCUUCCCGUUCAUGUUGACGCUGUAGUUGUAGUAUCUCGAGUUCAUUAUCAGACCACCCCAUUCCCGCCAGCCAGGCGGUAUGUACGAGCCGUUGUACUUGUUCAAAUAUUUACCGAAGUAUCCUGGAAACAGGGUAAAGAGAAUGAGUAAAACGCGUUAAUAAUGUUAAUUAAUCUCAUGCGUUCUCUAAAGAGGAACGAGAAAAUUUAUUAUUAUCUUUUAUCCGGUUCGUUUGUCCCUUCAAAUUAAAACGUGAAAAUUGACUUUUGUCAAAAACAAUGAUAAAAAAAAAAAAAAAAAAAAAAAAAAAAGAACAAAAUGAAAAUAAACGAAAAUAAUAAAUAAAUAAAUAAAAUCGAACAAUUCGCCUCGUUGCUCCUUCGUUCUUUCUUUUUUUUUCUUUUUCUUUUAUUUUCUUUGUUUACAUCGAAAAAAAGAUAAUUUGAUUUGUCACUUGGUGCCAAUCGGUAAAACUGGUCAAGAAUAAUCAUCGACCUCCCACACCUAUUCCUCUCUCUCUCUCUCCCUCUCUCUCUCUCUCUCUCUCUCUCUCUCUCUCUUUCUCUGAAUUGAAUUAUUCAUGUCUGAGAGAGGGAGAUCGCUACAAAAUAAUUAAUUCAAACGUAGUACGCGAGGUCGCCUCUUUUGGGUUGCAACGACCGCUCGUAUAUAUUUAUUAGCCUUCGUCGUUCCUCCUCUAUACACUUCGAAGUAUUAUAGUGUUCGAUAUAUAUCGAUACUAUUAUUUCUUUUUUUCUUCGCCGACAAAAUUACACAGGAAGGAUUUCGGUCGAGACAACUUUUUACAACGAGAGAGAAAAAAGAGAGAGAGAGAGAGAGAGAGAGAGAGAGAGAGAGAGAGAGAGAGAGAGAGAAAGAGAGCAU